Molecule: non-coding RNA, 29 nt
Filed under: Homo sapiens (human)
Lineage: Eukaryota; Metazoa; Chordata; Mammalia; Primates; Hominidae
Source: RNAcentral
UGGGGUCCUGCACAGAUGGGACGUGGCUU